UACGUAGGUGGCGAGCGUUGUCCGGAUUUACUGGGCGUAAAGGGCGUGCAGGCGGUUUGUUAAGUGCAGGGUGAAGGCUCCCGGCUCAACUGGGAGAGGUCCUUGCAUACUGGCGAACUCGAGGGAGGCAGAGGAAAGUGGAAUUCCCGGUGUAGUGGUGAUAUGCGUAGAUAUCGGGAGGAACACCUGUGGCGAAGGCGGCUUUCUGGGCCUUACCUGACGCUGAGACGCGAAAGCGUGGGGAGCGAACCGG
Molecule: ribosomal RNA, 253 nt
Filed under: uncultured bacterium
Lineage: Bacteria
Description: partial 16S ribosomal RNA
Rfam family: Bacterial small subunit ribosomal RNA
Source: RNAcentral